ACAUGAUAUAGAGGCCGCAGUUGUCAAUAGUAAUGUUAUUUUACAUGAAAGGGGCAAUUGCCGAAACACAGGUUAUGUGUUGGGAUUAUACCAAAUAGGUAUGGUACUGUCUUUAGAAAAUUGCCCGAUUUUCUAAAGGGGUGCUUGUUAUGU
Molecule: non-coding RNA, 153 nt
Filed under: Clostridium tetanomorphum
Lineage: Bacteria; Bacillati; Bacillota; Clostridia; Eubacteriales; Clostridiaceae
Description: Lysine sequence
Rfam family: Lysine riboswitch aptamer
About the family: Riboswitches are metabolite binding domains within certain messenger RNAs that serve as precision sensors for their corresponding targets. Allosteric rearrangement of mRNA structure is mediated by ligand binding, and this results in modulation of gene expression. This family includes riboswitches that sense lysine in a number of genes involved in lysine metabolism, including lysC.
Source: RNAcentral